CGACGUAGGUAACCUGCCUAUUAGCGGGGGAUAACUAUUGGAAACGAUAGCUAAUACCGCAUAAUAUUAAUUAUUGCAUGAUAAUUGAUUGAAAGGUGCAAAUGCAUCACUACCAGAUGGACCUGCGUUGUAUUAGCUAGUUGGUGGGGUAACGGCUCACCAAGGCGACGAUACAUAGCCGACCUGAGAGGGUGAUCGGCCACACUGGGACUGAGACACGGCCCAG
RNAcentral lists this ribosomal RNA (226 nucleotides) under uncultured Streptococcaceae bacterium. Its description in RNAcentral is "partial 16S ribosomal RNA". It matches the Rfam family "Bacterial small subunit ribosomal RNA", at positions 113 to 334 of the family's 1533-position model. Lineage: Bacteria; Bacillati; Bacillota; Bacilli; Lactobacillales; Streptococcaceae. The record is from RNAcentral.